This is a long non-coding RNA of Manihot esculenta (cassava), 975 nucleotides long. RefSeq lists it as uncharacterized. Lineage: Eukaryota; Viridiplantae; Streptophyta; Magnoliopsida; Malpighiales; Euphorbiaceae. The transcript is spliced from 4 exons. The record is from RefSeq and is a predicted model, not a curated record.
UAUUAAGGCACAAAUGCAGAUGGCUACAGAAAUAUUGACAGGCAAAAACCGCUCCUUCAAAGCUCGUAUGUCCCCUGGUGAUAGCCGGAGAACUGCCCAAUCUCUCUCCUCCAUGCAACUGGCGAGCAAACCAACAAAACCACUACACUCACCAAAACCAUCGUUUUCUCUUUUGAAAUCUCUUUCAGGGAAAAAAAAAGAAAAAAGAAAUCUCUUUCUUUCUCCUCUAAAACCUCACCUGCAAUGGCUUUCUUCUCAUUUGGGCUAUACCAUCUCCAACCAACCAAUUUAAGAAACAAUCCGUCCGCUUUCCUUCUUCCCUUAAUCUGUCUUCACUUCAUUCUCAGUUUUGUUUGGCUUUAUCUCCACUUAGAUUAGGUUCAAGAUUGCUUGGCAGUGGUCUUCUUGCAAGAGCUGAAGAUAAACAAAAUAGGGUUUGAGGAUCUGAGUAAGGUUACGUGUUAAGUGGGCGUUUUUUUUGGUAAAUUCAAAGAUGUUUUGGCGUGGCGUCGCCGGUGGAGACAAUUUUGGACAAGGACAACUUUACACUCGAGGAGCUGCUUGAUGAGGAUGAAAUUAUUCAAGAAUGCAAAGCUCUAAAUGGACGUCUUAUCAAUUGCUUACAGCCCAAUUAGAUCAGGCGGAAUUACAAGGGAGGGUCCUUAUUGGUGAGGGAUAUGACAAUACUAAUGUAGGGCAACACGGAGAAUGGAGAUUUUGCGUAGUGGGUCGUCUCUUUUCUGAUAGGGCUGUUAACUUUGAUGCUUUCCAACAUACAAUGGCCAUUGCUUGGAGACCUGAUCCUGGGAUGUUUGUCAAAGAACUGGACAAUAAUGUUUUCAUUUUUUAGUUUUUCCAUGCCUACGGCAUUACAAAGGUUUUGAAUGAUGGUCCAUGAACUACCUAAUUAGGAGUAAAUUACGUAAUCAUAGGGAUUUGUAUAACUAACAGAUCUGAUAUAUAUUAUUUUGUGUA